This 585-nucleotide ribosomal RNA is filed under the name uncultured bacterium. RNAcentral's name for it is "bacterial SSU rRNA". It matches the Rfam family "Bacterial small subunit ribosomal RNA", at positions 338 to 916 of the family's 1533-position model. The record is from RNAcentral.
CCUACGGGAGGCAGCAGUGGGGAAUUUUGGACAAUGGGCGAAAGCCUGAUCCAGCCAUUCCGCGUGCAGGACGAAGGCCUUCGGGUUGUAAACUGCUUUUGUACGGAACGAAAAGGUUUCAGCUAAUACCUGGGACUCAUGACGGUACCGUAAGAAUAAGCACCGGCUAACUACGUGCCAGCAGCCGCGGUAAUACGUAGGGUGCGAGCGUUAAUCGGAAUUACUGGGCGUAAAGCGUGCGCAGGCGGUCUUGUAAGACAGAUGUGAAAUCCCCGGGCUCAACCUGGGAACUGCAUUUGUGACUGCAAGGCUAGAGUGCGGCAGAGGGGGAUGGAAUUCCGCGUGUAGCAGUGAAAUGCGUAGAUAUGCGGAGGAACACCGAUGGCGAAGGCAAUCCCCUGGGCCUGCACUGACGCUCAUGCACGAAAGCGUGGGGAGCAAACAGGAUUAGAUACCCUGGUAGUCCACGCCCUAAACGAUGUCAACUGGUUGUUGGGUCUUCACUGACUCAGUAACGAAGCUAACGCGUGAAGUUGACCGCCUGGGGAGUACGGCCGCAAGGUUGAAACUCAAAUGAAUUGACGG